Molecule: ribosomal RNA, 305 nt
Filed under: uncultured bacterium
Lineage: Bacteria
Description: bacterial SSU rRNA
Rfam family: Bacterial small subunit ribosomal RNA
Source: RNAcentral
ACUCCUACGGGAGGCAGCAGUGGGGAAUAUUGCACAAUGGGCGCAAGCCUGAUGCAGCCAUGCCGCGUGUGUGAAGAAGGGCCUUCGGGUUGAUAAAGCACUUUUCAGUUGUGGAGGAAGGUGGUGUCGUUAAUAGCGGCAUCAUUUGACGUUAGCACAUGAAGAAGCACCGGCUAACUCCGUGCCAGCAGCCGCGGUAAUACGGAGGGUGCGAGCGUUAAUCGGAAUUACUGGGCGUAAAGCGCAUGCAGGUGGUUUGUUAAGUCAGAUGUGAAAGCCCGGGGCUCAACCUCGGAACUGCAUUU